Transfer RNA from Colletotrichum chlorophyti, 81 nucleotides. It matches the Rfam family "tRNA". Rfam says of the family: Transfer RNA (tRNA) molecules are approximately 80 nucleotides in length. The record is from Rfam. NCBI's taxonomy places the organism in Eukaryota, Fungi, Ascomycota, Sordariomycetes, Glomerellales, Glomerellaceae.
GCGCCGAUGGUUUAGUGGUAAAAUUCUCCGUUGCCAUACAGCAGCGUCGGGGAGCCGGGGGUUCGAUUCCCCCUCGGCGCA